GGUGUUGACGCAAUGUGAUUUCU
This 23-nucleotide non-coding RNA is filed under the name Bombyx mori (domestic silkworm). Lineage: Eukaryota; Metazoa; Arthropoda; Insecta; Lepidoptera; Bombycidae. The record is from RNAcentral. RNAcentral also lists the same sequence under 2 other names.